AGGGUUUGAUCAUGGCUCAGAACGUACGCUGGCGGCACGCCUAACACAUGCAAGUCGAACGAAGUAGCAAUACUUAGUGGCAGACGGGUGAGUAACAUGUAGGUAUCUGCCCUUUGGCCUGGAAUAACACGAGGAAACUUGUGCUAAUACUGGAUAAGUCUUUACGGAGAAAGCUUUAUGCACCAUUGGAUGAGCCUGCACUUGAUUAGUUUGUUGGUGGGGUAAUGGCCUACCAAGACUUUGAUCAAUAGCUGGUCUGAGAGGAUGAUCAGCCACACUGGGACUGAGACACGGCCCAAACUCCUACGGGAGGCAGCAGUGGGGAAUCUUGCACAAUGGAGGAAACUCUGAUGCAGCGAUGCCGCGUGAGUGAAGAAGGCCUUUGGGUUGUAAAGCUCUUUCGUCGGGGAAGAAAAUGACUGUACCCGAAUAAGAAGGUCCGGCUAACUUCGUGCCAGCAGCCGCGGUAAUACGAAGGGACCUAGCGUAGUUCGGAAUUACUGGGCUUAAAGAGUUCGUAGGUGGUUGAAAAAGUUGGUGGUGAAAUCCCAGAGCUUAACUCUGGAACUGCCAUCAAAACUUUUCAGCUAGAGUUGAUAGAGGAAAGCAGAAUUUCUAGUGUAGAGGUGAAAUUCGUAGAUAUUAGAAAGAAUACCGAUUGCGAAGGCAGCUUUCUGGAUCAUUACUGACACUGAGGAACGAAAGCAUGGGUAGCGAAGAGGAUUAGAUACCCUCGUAGUCCAUGCCGUAAACGAUGUGUGUUAGACGUUGGAAAUUUAUUUUCAGUGUCGCAGCGAAAGCGAUAAACACACCGCCUGGGGAGUACGACCGCAAGGUUAAAACUCAAAUGAAUUGACGGGGACCCGCACAAGUAGUGGAGCAUGUGGUUUAAUUCGAAGAUACGCGCAGAACCUUACCAACACUUGACAUGUUCGUCGCGACUUUAAGAGAUUAAAGUUUUCGGUUCGGCCGGACGAAACACAGGUGCUGCAUGGCUGUCGUCAGCUCGUGUCGUGAGAUGUUGGGUUAAGUCCCGCAACGAGCGCAACCCUCACUUUUAGUUGCCAUCAUUAAGUUGGGCACUCUGAAAGAACUGCCAGUGAUAAGCUGGAGGAAGGUGGGGAUGACGUCAAGUCCUCAUGGCCCUUACGUGUUGGGCUACACACGUGCUACAAUGGUAUCUACAACAGGAAGCAAGACGGCGACGUUAAGCAAAUCCUUAAAAGAUACCUCAGUUCGGAUUGUACUCUGCAACUCGAGUACAUGAAGCUGGAAUUACUAGUAAUCGUGGAUCAGCGUGCCACGGUGAAUGCGUUCCCGGGUCUUGUACACACCGCCCGUCACACCAUGGGAGUUGGUUCUACCUUAAGGCAAGGUUUAAAACCCUUGACCACGGUAUAGUCAGCGACUGGGGUGAAGUCGUAACAAGGUAACCGUA
RNAcentral lists this ribosomal RNA (1438 nucleotides) under uncultured bacterium. RNAcentral describes it as "bacterial SSU rRNA". It matches the Rfam family "Bacterial small subunit ribosomal RNA". The record is from RNAcentral.